This is an unclassified non-coding RNA of Callithrix jacchus (white-tufted-ear marmoset), 301 nucleotides long. It matches the Rfam family "Metazoan signal recognition particle RNA". Rfam says of the family: The signal recognition particle (SRP) is a universally conserved ribonucleoprotein. It is involved in the co-translational targeting of proteins to membranes. The record is from Ensembl. Lineage: Eukaryota; Metazoa; Chordata; Mammalia; Primates; Cebidae.
GCGGGGCGUGGUGGCGCGUACCUGUAGUCCCAGCUACUCGGGAGGCCGAGGUGGGAGGAUCACUUUGAGCCCAGGAGUUCUGGGCUGCAGUGCGCUAUGCUGAUGUGGUGUCUGCACUAAUUUCGGCAUCAAUAUGGUGACUUCCAGGGAGCGGGGGACCAGCAGGUUGCCUAAGGAGGGGUGAACCGGCCCAGGUCAAAAACAGAGCAGGUCAAAACUCCCGUGCUAAUCAGUAAUGAGAUCGUGCCUGUGAAUAGCCACUGCACUCCCGCCUGGGCAACAUAGCGAGACCCCAUGUCUU